RNAcentral lists this ribosomal RNA (360 nucleotides) under Triticum aestivum (bread wheat). RNAcentral describes it as "partial small subunit ribosomal RNA". Lineage: Eukaryota; Viridiplantae; Streptophyta; Magnoliopsida; Poales; Poaceae. The record is from RNAcentral.
AUGCUUGCGGGUGUGGCCAUCAGCUCAAAGGGAGGUCUCUCCCUGAGGCGCACGUCUGCCCGUUGCCCAACCAAGGUGCCUGCGGCUAGGCAUGCUGAGGCAUGUAUCUGUCGCAGACUGGGGAUCAUAGAAGAUGGAGAGGAUAUAACUGAGAAGGCAAUUGAUCAAUUUGCGGCCAAGUUCAAAAAUCAGCUGCAUGUUGAUGUCAUCGGAGCCAUGCGUGCUUUCUUCACGCUGGAUGAUGCCCAGUACAACGCUGCUGAGGAUGGGCUGCUCCAGCAUGGGGGCGAGGAGGCUCUGGACCACGAUGAAGGCGCUGCAACAGCUCCUGUUGCAUUAUGGACUCCUGUGUCGCUUUAG